This 422-nucleotide ribosomal RNA is filed under the name uncultured bacterium. RNAcentral's name for it is "bacterial SSU rRNA". It matches the Rfam family "Bacterial small subunit ribosomal RNA", at positions 355 to 774 of the family's 1533-position model. The record is from RNAcentral.
UGAGGAAUAUUGGGCAAUGCCCGCAAGGGUGACCCAGCAACGCCGCGUGGAGGAUGAAUGUCGUAAGAUUGUAAACUCCUGUUAGAGGGGAAGAAUAGUACCGGUUGGACCGGUAUAUGACUGUACCCUCAGAGAAAGCCCCGGCUAACUACGUGCCAGCAGCCGCGGUAAUACGUGGGGGGCAAGCGUUGUCCGGAUUUACUGGGUGUAAAGGGCGCGCAGGCGGGAUAAAAAGUCAGUGGUGAAAUCCCACAGCUUAACUGUAGAACUGCCUUUGAUACUUUUAUUCUUGAGUUCGGGAGAGAGAGACGGAAUUCCAGGUGUAGUGGUGAAAUACGUAGAUAUCUGGAAGAACACCAGUUGCGAAGGCGGUCUCUUGGUCCGACACUGACGCUGAGGCGCGAAAGCGUGGGGAGCAAACA